CGGGACACGUGGUAUCCUGUCUGAAUAUGGGGGGACCAUCCUCCAAGGCUAAAUACUCCUGACUGACCGAUAGUGAACCAGUACCGUGAGGGAAAGGCGAAAAGAACCCCGGCGAGGGGAGUGAAAAAGAACCUGAAACCGUGUACGUACAAGCAGUGGGAGCACGCUUAGGCGUGUGACUGCGUACCUUUUGUAUAAUGGGUCAGCGACUUAUAUUCUGUAGCAAGGUUAACCGAAUAGGGGAGCCGAAGGGAAACCGAGUCUUAACUGGGCGUUAAGUUGCAGGGUAUAGACCCGAAACCCGGUGAUCUAGCCAUGGGCAGGUUGAAGGUUGGGUAACACUAACUGGAGGACCGAACCGACUAAUGUUGAAAAAUUAGCGGAUGACUUGUGGCUGGGGGUGAAAGGCCAAUCAAACCGGGAGAUAGCUGGUUCUCCCCGAAAGCUAUUUAGGUAGCGCCUCGUGAAUUCAUCUCCGGGGGUAGAGCACUGUUUCGGCAAGGGGGUCAUCCCGACUUACCAACCCGAUGCAAACUGCGAAUACCGGAGAAUGUUAUCACGGGAGACACACGGCGGGUGCUAACGUCCGUCGUGAAGAGGGAAACAACCCAGACCGCCAGCUAAGGUCCCAAAGUCAUGGUUAAGUGGGAAACGAUGUGGGAAGGCCCAGACAGCCAGGAUGUUGGCUUAGAAGCAGCCAUCAUUUAAAGAAAGCGUAAUAGCUCACUGGUCGAGUCGGCCUGCGCGGAAGAUGUAACGGGGCUAAACCAUGCACCGAAGCUGCGGCAGCGACGCUGAUGCGUUGUUGGGUAGGGGAGCGUUCUGUAAGCCUGUGAAGGUGUGCUGUGAGGCAUGCUGGAGGUAUCAGAAGU
Molecule: ribosomal RNA, 872 nt
Filed under: Escherichia coli
Lineage: Bacteria; Pseudomonadati; Pseudomonadota; Gammaproteobacteria; Enterobacterales; Enterobacteriaceae
Description: partial 23S ribosomal RNA
Rfam family: Bacterial large subunit ribosomal RNA
Source: RNAcentral